UACGUAGGGGGCUAGCGUUGUCCGGAAUCAUUGGGCGUAAAGAGCGCGUAGGCGGCCAGAUAAGUCCGGUGUGAAAGUCACAGGCUCAACCUGUGAAUGCCGCUGGAAACUGUCUGGCUAGAGUCCGGAAGGGGCGAGUGGAAUUCCUGGUGUAGCGGUGAAAUGCGCAGAUAUAGGAGGAACACCAAUGGCGAAGGCAGCUCGCUGGAACGGUACUGACGCUGUGGCGCGAAAGCGUGGGGAGCAAACAGG
RNAcentral lists this ribosomal RNA (252 nucleotides) under uncultured bacterium. RNAcentral describes it as "partial 16S ribosomal RNA". It matches the Rfam family "Bacterial small subunit ribosomal RNA", at positions 524 to 776 of the family's 1533-position model. The record is from RNAcentral.